RNAcentral lists this non-coding RNA (24 nucleotides) under Arabidopsis thaliana (thale cress). The record is from RNAcentral. Lineage: Eukaryota; Viridiplantae; Streptophyta; Magnoliopsida; Brassicales; Brassicaceae.
AGUGCCGCUCACGCCCGGUCGUAC